UACGUAGGGAGCAAGCGUUGUCCGGAAUCAUUGGGCGUAAAGCGCGCGUAGGCGGCCCUGUAAGUCCGCUGUGAAAGUCAAAGGCUCAACCUUUGAAAGCCGGUGGAUACUGCAGGGCUAGAGUCCGGAAGAGGAGAAUGGAAUUCCCGGUGUAGCGGUGAAAUGCGCAGAUAUCGGGAAGAACACCCGUGGCGAAGGCGGUUCUCUGGGACGGUACUGACGCUGAGACGCGAAAGCGUGGGGAGCGAACAGG
This 253-nucleotide ribosomal RNA is filed under the name uncultured bacterium. Its description in RNAcentral is "partial 16S ribosomal RNA". It matches the Rfam family "Bacterial small subunit ribosomal RNA", at positions 524 to 776 of the family's 1533-position model. The record is from RNAcentral.